Non-coding RNA from Acanthosepion pharaonis, 111 nucleotides. NCBI's taxonomy places the organism in Eukaryota, Metazoa, Mollusca, Cephalopoda, Sepiida, Sepiidae. The record is from the annotation of a GenBank genome assembly.
ACAGUCAUAUCAUGUUGAAACACCAGUUCUCAUCUGAUCACUGAAGUAAGCAACAUCGCGACUGGUCAGUACUUAGAGGAGUGACUGCUUGUGAGUACCAGGUACUGUAAG